CCUCAUUCCUAAUUCCCUAAUUCGAAACCCUAAACGGAGAGAGAGCUCGGCGGCGCCUCCUCGCCUUCCGCCGCUAGCUGCUCCGGUCGGCGCCUCCCUUGCGCCGCCGGGGACUUGAUGCUUCUCCCUCACCAUCCUCGGUCUCACUCUCUUCUUAGAACAACCAUCCCCAAAUCAAAACACAUCCAACCCUAAUCUCUCCUCCCUCUUCUCUCUCGGCGGUAACGCCACCUCGCCCGUCGCCAACGCCGCCAUCCGUCACCGCCGCUUCGCGGCCGCUCUCAUCCUCGGCUGCCCGACGAGCAGGGCUGCCGCCCGCCGCGUUGUUCGGCGCCGCUCAGCCCAUCUCCGCCUCCUUCCUCGUCUUCUCCGGCGAUUCGCCGCUGCCCUCUUCACCUCAGGAGCUUAGGCUCGCCGUGGAUGUUCCCGCGGCUGCCCUCGCCUCCAGUUUCAGCGAGUAGUGCCGCCUUGCAAUCCUCCGUUACCGUCCCGAUCGGGCAACCCAAGUGCAAAUCGUAAAAGCUAAGUCCUUUCACCCCUUUUGUUUAUUAGUACUUUGUUCAAGAAUUUGGGCAGUAGCUAUGUUGGAGACGUUUGAUUGUUGUGAUUUGAGAUUGUGAUUUCUGAGAUAAGAAUUUGCUCACUGGAAUGAGCUUGAUUUUUGGGCUAAAGUGUUGAUUUUGAAACGGUUAUAGUUUGCUACUGAAAUUUAGCAUGAGGGCAGCCUAUUGUGCUCUUGUUCCAUUUAUGUGUUAAGUUUUAAGAAUGCUACUACUGUCAUGAGAUUUCUCUAGCAAAUUCUACAUCCUUGAGCUAGCAUGAUGUUCUAAACAAGGGCAGAGAGUGUGCUUGUGUUAUUUUGAUUGUGCUUCCUAAGUUGUAGUGCCUCUAUAUGAUGAUAUGUAAAGCUAUUGGGGAAGGAAGAUGGAGGUGUAUUACCUCUGGAAAAUCGAAGGAGAGGCUGUCUUUGAUGCUUUUCUCCACUUGUUCCACCCUCUACUCUCGGUUUAUGCUGAGAUUUUGAAGUGUGUGUGAAAGGAAGUUGAAUGUGUUGUGGAGGAAAUUUUAUAGGCAAAAUGUGGUGUAUUAUGGGGAAUUAAAUGGGGCUGUUGUAUCACUUGUUGUUAUGCUGCAGAAAAUCCCACUUUAAUGAUCCCAUUGCCCCUCCUUCUUGGCUGCAAUUUGGCAUUACAUGGGUAUCUAGUACUUGGCUAGCAAUUUGAAUCGUUUGAUUGUGCAGUGAGCAGGUGGCUGUUGUGCCAAGGGUGUUGCAGGGCUGACUUUCCUCUUAUGGUGAUUCUUUGGGUCAUCUAUAACUAAAGAAGGUUGUCUCCAUCCCUAAGGUCGAGACAAGCUUGGUUGCCAAGCUGCUGGCUGUCUGGAACAGUUGAUACCUCGGCCCACGGCUGACCGGAAAACGGGCCGCGACUAUCGGCCCGGGAGGAGAGACCGAUUCUAUUCGAUUAAUGCACAUUUUAUCCUUUCC
Non-coding RNA from Salvia hispanica, 1486 nucleotides. Lineage: Eukaryota; Viridiplantae; Streptophyta; Magnoliopsida; Lamiales; Lamiaceae. The record is from RefSeq and is a predicted model, not a curated record.